ACCUGGGUGGCUCAGUCGGUUAAGCAUCUGACUUCAGUUCAGGUCAUGAUCUCACGGUCUGUGGGUUCGAGCCCCACAUCAGGCU
Molecule: transfer RNA, 85 nt
Filed under: Felis catus (domestic cat)
Lineage: Eukaryota; Metazoa; Chordata; Mammalia; Carnivora; Felidae
Rfam family: tRNA
About the family: Transfer RNA (tRNA) molecules are approximately 80 nucleotides in length. Their secondary structure includes four short double-helical elements and three loops (D, anti-codon, and T loops).
Source: Rfam by way of RNAcentral